GGGCCCAUAGCUCAACGGCAGAGCAAGCGGCUCAUAACCGCUGGGUUCUUGGUUCGAAUCCGAGUGGGCCCACCA
RNAcentral lists this transfer RNA (75 nucleotides) under Armatimonadota bacterium. Its description in RNAcentral is "Armatimonadetes bacterium (hot springs metagenome) tRNA-Met". It matches the Rfam family "tRNA". Rfam says of the family: Transfer RNA (tRNA) molecules are approximately 80 nucleotides in length. Their secondary structure includes four short double-helical elements and three loops (D, anti-codon, and T loops). The record is from RNAcentral. Lineage: Bacteria; Bacillati; Armatimonadota.